RNAcentral lists this transfer RNA (74 nucleotides) under Clostridiales bacterium. RNAcentral's name for it is "tRNA-Met". It matches the Rfam family "tRNA". From Rfam's summary of the family: Transfer RNA (tRNA) molecules are approximately 80 nucleotides in length. Their secondary structure includes four short double-helical elements and three loops (D, anti-codon, and T loops). Further hydrogen bonds mediate the characteristic L-shaped molecular structure. tRNAs have two regions of fundamental functional importance: the anti-codon, which is responsible for specific mRNA codon recognition, and the 3' end, to which the tRNAs corresponding amino acid is attached (by aminoacyl-tRNA synthetases). tRNAs cope with the degeneracy of the genetic code in two manners: having more than one tRNA (with a specific anti-codon) for a particular amino acid; and 'wobble' base-pairing, i.e. permitting non-standard base-pairing at the 3rd anti-codon position. The record is from RNAcentral. Lineage: Bacteria; Bacillati; Bacillota; Clostridia; Eubacteriales. RNAcentral also lists the same sequence under 1 other name.
GGCGAGAUAGCUCAGUUGGCUAGAGCACACGGUUCAUACCCGUGGUGUCGUGAGUUCAAAUCUCUCUCUCGCUA